GACGAACGCUGGCGGCGUGCUUAACACAUGCAAGUCGAACGGAAAAGCCCUGCUUUUGUGGGGUGCUCGAGUGGCGAACGGGUGAGUAACACGUGAGUAACCUGCCCUUAACUUUGGGAUAACUUCAGGAAACUGGGGCUAAUACCGGAUAGGAGCUCCUGCUGCAUGGUGGGGGUUGGAAAGUUUCGGCGGUUGGGGAUGGACUCGCGGCUUAUCAGCUUGUUGGUGGGGUAGUGGCUUACCAAGGCUUUGACGGGUAGCCGGCCUGAGAGGGUGACCGGCCACAUUGGGACUGAGAUACGGCCCAGACUCCUACGGGAGGCAGCAGUGGGGAAUAUUGCACAAUGGGCGGAAGCCUGAUGCAGCAACGCCGCGUGCGGGAUGACGGCCUUCGGGUUGUAAACCGCUUUCGCCUGUGACGAAGCGUGAGUGACGGUAAUGGGUAAAGAAGCACCGGCUAACUACGUG
RNAcentral lists this ribosomal RNA (468 nucleotides) under uncultured bacterium. RNAcentral's name for it is "partial 16S ribosomal RNA". It matches the Rfam family "Bacterial small subunit ribosomal RNA", at positions 28 to 507 of the family's 1533-position model. The record is from RNAcentral.